RNAcentral lists this ribosomal RNA (194 nucleotides) under uncultured Clostridium sp. RNAcentral describes it as "partial 16S ribosomal RNA". It matches the Rfam family "Bacterial small subunit ribosomal RNA", at positions 338 to 524 of the family's 1533-position model. RNAcentral also lists the same sequence under 1 other name. The record is from RNAcentral. Lineage: Bacteria; Bacillati; Bacillota; Clostridia; Eubacteriales; Clostridiaceae.
CCUACGGGAGGCAGCAGUAGGGAAUUUUCGGCAAUGGGGGAAACCCUGACCGAGCAACGCCGCGUGAAGGAAGAAGGUUUUCGGAUUGUAAACUUCUGUUAUAAAGGAAGAACGGCGGCUACAGGAAAUGGUAGCCGAGUGACGGUACUUUAUUAGAAAGCCACGGCUAACUACGUGCCAGCAGCCGCGGUAAU